Molecule: non-coding RNA, 126 nt
Organism: Triticum aestivum (bread wheat)
Lineage: Eukaryota; Viridiplantae; Streptophyta; Magnoliopsida; Poales; Poaceae
Source: Rfam
AAUCUGAUCCCUCCGUCCGAAAAAGCUUGUCCCUCAAAUGGAUGUAUCUACCAUCAAGUUAGUGCUAGAUACAUCCAUUUGAGGGACAAGCUUGGGACAAGCUUUUUCGGACGGAGGGAGUACAAG